Molecule: long non-coding RNA, 693 nt
Organism: Ictalurus punctatus (channel catfish)
Lineage: Eukaryota; Metazoa; Chordata; Actinopteri; Siluriformes; Ictaluridae
Source: Ensembl
UAAUAAUCCGAUUUACUUUGGUCUGAGGUACCGCAGACUGCACCGACUUUCCCUUUACCAAGUACCAGAAAUCGGGUUUAUUGCAGUUAUUUGUUUAUUUAUUUAUUUUAUACGGUUGUGAUUAGUUGUUCUGUUUGUGUGCGCGUCUGUAUUUUUAUUUAUUCGUUAUUUUUUUUAGAAUCAGUUCCAGGAACUGCUGAUGAAGGAGGACUGUGCAGACCCGCAUCGUGGAAGUCUAACCUACAAUAAUAAUUAUAAUAAUAAUUAUAAUAAUAAUAAUAAUAACAAUGCGACUCGAUUCUUCUUAAAGUGGUCGGUGUGAUUAUCUGGGUUUAUUAUAGAGGAUGCGAGGGGUCCAGUACUGAGAGACACGGAUACUGUUCCGGCUCUCUCUCUCUCUCUCUCUCUCUCUCUCUCUCUCUCUCUCUCUCUCUCUCUCUCUCUCACCAUUUCCUCAUGGAUUGAAUUUUACGACUGGGAAUAGACAUGGAUUAACAUGCCGAUGUUUGUUUAUCGGAGAUGUAAAUAAUUGCACUGGAGCACAUCGGAGGAUCAUUAUGGCUCUGGGGGCAGAUCAGAGGUUAAGGUUGCCUUGGGCUAAAAAAUGAGCCAUAGCAUAACCAUCUCUAGGAUUCAGACAAAUAUCCACGUCAGUAACUACAGGUGAGAUAGAUGGCCUACCAGAAUGUCCCA